Molecule: RNA transcript, 1244 nt
Organism: Nelumbo nucifera (sacred lotus)
Lineage: Eukaryota; Viridiplantae; Streptophyta; Magnoliopsida; Proteales; Nelumbonaceae
Source: RefSeq, a predicted model, not a curated record
UAAACUUUAAACCCAAACACAAUACGGAAAUUAGACUCUUCAACCCUAGAAAGCAACGAAGCUGCUAUUUCCUCGGUCCCUAGUUCUUCAAACCUCCCAUGGCUUCCGCCUGCAAUAGACUCGUCAACAGAAUGGCUAUUUCCUCCCUCAAAUCCGCCGUUAAAUCGAAAAUCCGAACACCUUUUGCCGGAUCUUCCACAUCGACAUCCUCACAAGCCCCUCUCUCAGGCGCUUUCUCAUCUAGAACUCCUCUUCUCAGAUUUUCUUCGUUGAGCAGAUCUCCCGUCGAACUUGGAUGUGCGCAGUCUCUGUUACCUCUCCACAGCGCAGUUGCUGUUGCGAGGCUUACCUCAUGUCUGAGCUCGAACUCGAGGAGUUGCCGCGCUCUCUCACAGGAUGGAAUUGAUGGUACGUGAAAACAAUUUUGCUUCAUGCGGUUUCAGAAGGUGGGUUCUGUUCUGUCAUGUAUGCUUCAACUAGUGUAUUGUCGUGAGACUGUAUUCUUACUUGUAGAAUCAUAUUUGGGCCAUCAUUAUUCUAAUUGAUUCUUGUUUAAACUGCACAUAUUUCUCUCAUGUGAAUCUGAUGGUGAGGUUGUCCCGCACUAAAUUUCACUUUGUGUUGGUCUUCUUUCUCUGCUCGUACCUUGUAACCAGAACCUGUUUGCUAAAGAUGUUGAGAAUACAGCUCGGUCUAUCAGUUCCAAGGUGACAAUGGGAGCAGGCCACCACCGUGACAAUGCAUCCUUUCUUGGCAUUGAACCUGCUGUAGUUCCUUCCCAUCUGUGUAACCAAGUUCGUGAUGGCCGUUCUCAAAACCUUAGUAAAGGCAGUAAAAUUGCUUUUUUAUUCUUCUCCAACAGAGGUUCAAUAAAUUAUUAUUUCAAGGAAAGAGAGGAGUUGAAGAGCUGGUCCCCCUUGUUCUUUGUUUUUCUGGUUGUUGCCAGACAAUUCUUACAGGAGUCUUUAUUUCCUCUUAUCCACUCAUGUGCUCUCUCUCUCCUACAUGGCAGUGUUGGAAGUGGUACACGGUGUACUGUAGCGAAUUGAGAAUCUGCGCUGCUGCAUGUCUGAGAUGUCAAUGCCUUUGGAACCAUGUAUGCUCUGAUGCUUUCUCAGGGAUAACGACCAAUGCAGCACGGAUUGUCACCCUCCCCACUCCCCAGCCACAUUGUGUACACAGAUUAAGUAGAUAGAUAUUGUAAAAAUGCAAUGCCCACGAUAUUAGAGUACACAGCUCAACAA